CUUUAAUUCUAGCACUUAAGGAUGAUCUUCUUCAUCGAUCCUACUAUUAUAUCCGAUCGAUGAGAAAACCAUCCUUAAGUGCUAAAAUUAAAGAAAA
This 97-nucleotide microRNA precursor is filed under the name Phlebotomus papatasi. Its description in RNAcentral is "microRNA mir-278". Lineage: Eukaryota; Metazoa; Arthropoda; Insecta; Diptera; Psychodidae. The record is from RNAcentral.